This 139-nucleotide small nucleolar RNA is filed under the name Oryza punctata. RNAcentral describes it as "Small nucleolar RNA Z247". It matches the Rfam family "Small nucleolar RNA Z247". Rfam says of the family: Z247 is a member of the C/D class of snoRNA which contain the C (UGAUGA) and D (CUGA) box motifs. Lineage: Eukaryota; Viridiplantae; Streptophyta; Magnoliopsida; Poales; Poaceae. The record is from Rfam by way of RNAcentral.
CCUCUUGAUGAGGAAGAUUUAGUUGCUUAUAUUUUAAAUGGGCUAGAUAAAGAUUUUGAACCUAUUGUAUCUGCUAUUGUGGCACACAAUGAGUCGGUCACAAUAGCGGAAGUCUACUCUUAGCUUCUUAAUUUUGAGA